UACGGAAGGCAGCAGUGGGGAAUAUUGCACAAUGGGCGCAAGCCUGAUGCAGCCAUGCCGCGUGUAUGAAAAAGGCCUUCGGGUUGUAAAGUACUUUCAGUCGUGAGGAAGGUGUUAAGGUUAAUAACCUUAGCAAUUGACGUUAGCGACAGAAGAAGCACCGGCUAACUCCGUGCCAGCAGCCGCGGUAAUACGGAGGGUGCGAGCGUUAAUCGGAAUUACUGGGCGUAAAGGGCACGCAGGCGGUUAAUUAAGUUGGAUGUGAAAUCCCCGGGCUUAACCUGGGAAUGGCAUUCAAGACUGGUUAGCUAGAGUCUUGUAGAGGGGGUAGAAUUCCAUGUGUAGCGGUGAAAUGCGUAGAGAUGUGGAGGAAUACCGGUGGCGAAGGCGGCCCCUGGACAAAGACUGACGCUCAUGUGCGAAAGCGUGGGGAGCGAAACAGGGA
Molecule: ribosomal RNA, 445 nt
Filed under: uncultured bacterium
Lineage: Bacteria
Description: bacterial SSU rRNA
Rfam family: Bacterial small subunit ribosomal RNA
Source: RNAcentral